This 86-nucleotide small nucleolar RNA is filed under the name Arabidopsis thaliana (thale cress). Lineage: Eukaryota; Viridiplantae; Streptophyta; Magnoliopsida; Brassicales; Brassicaceae. The record is from RNAcentral.
AAAGGCAGUGAUGAACGAGAAUGUCAUGCACCACUCUGAUAUUAGUGCUGAUAACCAUCUCUAACCCAUAUUUUCUCUGAGCCUUU